Gossypium raimondii (Peruvian cotton) is the source of this 107-nucleotide small nucleolar RNA. It matches the Rfam family "Plant small nucleolar RNA R71". Rfam says of the family: R71 is a member of the C/D box family of snoRNAs containing the C (UGAUGA) and D (CUGA) box motifs. Multiple nearly identical copies of this snoRNA have been identified in Arabidopsis, and it is thought to function as a 2'-O-ribose methylation guide for 18S ribosomal RNA. Lineage: Eukaryota; Viridiplantae; Streptophyta; Magnoliopsida; Malvales; Malvaceae. The record is from Rfam.
AAACCAUGCAUUGGGCAUUUUCUAAAUAACUCAUUGAAUCGCUCCAAUGUUUCAUAUAAAGUUUUAUCCUCAGAUUGCCAAAAAGAUGUAAUAUUGUUCCUCAAUUU